RNAcentral lists this ribosomal RNA (520 nucleotides) under uncultured bacterium. RNAcentral describes it as "partial 16S ribosomal RNA". It matches the Rfam family "Bacterial small subunit ribosomal RNA", at positions 28 to 507 of the family's 1533-position model. The record is from RNAcentral.
GACGAACGCUGGCGGCGUGCCUAAUACAUGCAAGUCGAACGCACUCUCGUUUAGAUUGAAGGAGUUUGCUCCUGAUUGAUAAACAUUUGAGUGAGUGGCGGACGGGUGAGUAACACGUGGGUAACCUGCCCUAAAGUGGGGGAUAACAUUUGGAAACAGAUGCUAAUACCGCAUAAAACCUAACACCGCAUGGUGUAGGGUUGAAAGAUGGUUUCGGCUAUCACUUUAGGAUGGACCCGCGGUGCAUUAGUUAGUUCGUGAGGUAAAGGCUCACCAGGACCGUGAUGCAUAGCCGGCCUGAGAGGGUAAUCGGCCACACUGGGACUGAGACACGGCCCAGACUCCUACGGGAGGCAGCAGUAGGGAAUCUUCCACAAUGGACGAAAGUCUGAUGGAGCAACGCCGCGUGAGUGAAGAAGGUUUUCGGAUCGUAAAACUCUGUUGUUGGAGAAGAAUGUAUCUGAUAGUAACUGAUCAGGUAGUGACGGUAUCCAACCAGAAAGCCACGGCUAACUACGUG